This 253-nucleotide ribosomal RNA is filed under the name uncultured bacterium. Its description in RNAcentral is "partial 16S ribosomal RNA". It matches the Rfam family "Bacterial small subunit ribosomal RNA", at positions 524 to 776 of the family's 1533-position model. The record is from RNAcentral.
UACGUAGGGACCGAGCGUUGUCCGGAUUCAUUGGGCGUAAAGAGCUCGUAGGCGGCUGUUCAAGUCGAACGUGAAAACUCGGAGCUCAACUCCGAGCCUGCGUUCGAUACUGGACGGCUAGAGUCUGGUAGGGGGAUCUGGAAUUCCUGGUGUAGCGGUGGAAUGCGCAGAUAUCGUAAGGAAGACCAGUGGCGAAGGCGGGUCUCUGGACAGUUCCUGACGCUGAGGCACGAAGGUCAGGGGAGCAAACGGG